GACGAACGCUGGCGGCGUGCCUAAUACAUGCAAGUAGAACGCUGAAGCUUGGUGCUUGCCCCGAGCGGAUGAGUUGCGAACGGGUGAGUAACGCGUAGGUAACCUGCCUGGUAGCGGGGGAUAACUAUUGGAAACGAUAGCUAAUACCGCAUAAUAGUAGAUGUUGCAUGACCUUUGCUUAAAAGGUGCAAUUGCAUCACUACCAGAUGGACCUGCGUUGUAUUAGCUAGUUGGUGAGGUAACGGCUCACCAAGGCAACGAUACAUAGCCGACCUGAGAGGGUGAUUCGCCACACUGGGAAUGGGACACGGCCCAAACUUCUUCGGGAGGCAACAGUAGGGAAACUUCGGCAAUGGGCGGAAGGCUGAACGAGCAACGGCGCGUGAGGGAAGAAGGGUUUCGGAUCGUAAAGGUCUGUUGUAAGGGGAGAACGAGUGGGAGGGUGGAAAGUUCACACUGUGACGGUAUCUUACCAGAAAGGGACGGCUAACUACGUG
Molecule: ribosomal RNA, 497 nt
Filed under: uncultured bacterium
Lineage: Bacteria
Description: partial 16S ribosomal RNA
Rfam family: Bacterial small subunit ribosomal RNA
Source: RNAcentral